UUUGAUGGCAAAUGUCAUUUCUGUUUCAGAAAGGGACAUUUUGUUUCAAAUUGCAAAUUUAAAAAAUUAGCCAAUAGAGGAUGGAAGCAAGUUUGGAUAGCAAAGAAAUCUGUUUUUGACAUUAACCUUCUAGGACCCAAUUUGAAUUGGGGACCUAAAAUAAAAUUCUGAUUGUGUGUUACAGGUGUGCUUGACAUCCACUAAGCAUUCUUGGUAUUUAGAUAGCGGAUGCUCAAAGCACAUGACAGGAGACA
This 254-nucleotide long non-coding RNA is filed under the name Cicer arietinum (chickpea). RNAcentral's name for it is "long non-coding RNA (CARI_LNC003018)". Lineage: Eukaryota; Viridiplantae; Streptophyta; Magnoliopsida; Fabales; Fabaceae. The record is from RNAcentral.